AACGAACGCUGGCGGCAUGCCUAACACAUGCAAGUCGAACGAAACCUUCGGGCAUAGUGGCGCACGGGUGCGUAACGCGUGGGAACCUGCCCCUGGCUUCGGAAUAACAGCUAGAAAUGGGUGCUAAUACCGGAUGAAGUCUUCGGACCAAAGAUUUAUCGGCGAUGGAUGAGCCCGCGUUGGAUUAGGUAGUUGGUGGGGUGAAGGCCUACCAAGCCGACGAUCCUUAGCUGGUCUGAGAGGAUGAUCAGCCACACUGGGACUGAGACACGGCCCAGACUCCUACGGGAGGCAGCAGUGGGGGAUAUUGGACAAUGGGCGCAAGUCUGAUCCAGCAAGGCCGCGUGAGUGAUGAAGGCCUUAGGGUUGUAAAGCUCUUUUACCAGGGAUGAUAAUGACAGUACCUGGAGAAUAAGCUCCGGCUAACUCCGUG
This 433-nucleotide ribosomal RNA is filed under the name uncultured bacterium. RNAcentral describes it as "partial 16S ribosomal RNA". It matches the Rfam family "Bacterial small subunit ribosomal RNA", at positions 29 to 507 of the family's 1533-position model. The record is from RNAcentral.